GUCCACCCUACGUGUUCUAUUAGCGUGUAAACCUCCCCUGCUUUUGAACCGACCAACUCUCCCCUCUCUCACAAAGACAACUACAGAUUGUGAUAAGAGAGCACUCCUGACUCUUCCUUGUCCUCUCUGGUUGCAAACGUCUCAGGCCGGCCUUACCCCCUCCACACACUCCAAGAUUCACGACCAUCUUUAGAGAAUUCUACAUCUUAUCACGAUUCAAUCCAGCCUCGAAUUCCAUCGCUUUAUAUUUUAUGCGAGUUUUUGUGAAAAUAUUGACACCGACAAAUCCCGAUCUGCAGGCGGAUUCGAAUUCCUUGUCUUUUCCUUAUUUUCACGAGCUGGUUAGAGAUUGGAUUCACAAUUUUUGGGUUCCAUUUGAAAUGGUCUAUUUGCAUAGCUCAAUUUCGGUCUACAACUCCGUUGACCAGCCCACUGCAAUGGCUGACACUAAAUCAAGGGUUAACAAUCAUGUAUCAAGGAACAGAAAGGCACCCUUUUUGCCUAAUUGCUCGAAAAUCCCGGUUUGUGAUCGAUCUCGAUCGGCGGCAGUCGAUAUAGUAAUCCUUAUUGUCGUUAUUGGUGCUUGUGGAUUUUUGCUGUUCCCUUAUAUUAGGUUUAUGGUCGUGGAGCUUAUUGGAAUUGUUGGUGCGAUUGUUCGUGUGGUUAGGGAGGAAGUUGCUGAUGCUCCGGUGAUAUAUGGUUCUAUAGGGCUCAGCGUUUGCUGUGCUGCAUUGGUUGCCUGGAUGGUUGUGAUAUGUACUAGCCGGAAAUGUGGGAAUCCGAAUUGCAAAGGGCUGAGGAAGGCGGCGGAGUUCGAUAUUCAGUUGGAGACAGAGGAGUGCGUGAAGAACUCCACUAAUUUGGUUAAAGAUGGAGGACUGAAGAAGGGUCUGUUUGAAUUGCCACGCGAUCACCACCGGGAAUUGGAGGCGGAGCUCAAGAAGAUGGCGCCGCCUAAUGGAAGAGCAGUUCUUGUUUUUCGUGGGAGGUGUGGAUGUUCUGUUGGUAGAUUGGAAGUUCCGGGGCCGAAGAAGUAUCGGAAGAGCAAAAAGUAGGAUUGAUGUUGAUUGUUCUUAUUCAAUACAGGAUAAUCAGGAUACAGGAAUAACCAUAACGCAGAGAGAAGGGCCUUCUCUUGUUGAUCUUUUUCAGAACUAUGUCGUCUUUAAAUAAGCUUAUGAUUUGAAUAGAAGGCUGAUGCAUUUGUUGAUUGAUUUGCGAAGGGACACAUCUAGAUGAGAUCCACAAAAGGAUCACUGACAUUGGUUGGGAACAGCGUGUGGUAUGAUCCAUUCCUUCUAGCGAUGUUUGCACCACACUGCAUAGUUAAUAACGACUUUCUAUUUAAUCACUCCAUGCUAUACUUUUGAAAAGCUUAACUGGUGAUGUAAAUUCCUUUGGUUAUUCAAUAAAAAGGUUGAUAAUUUGUGCACAUCCCAUUAACUGAUGAGCCAUGGAAAAUCAAUCAUUAAUUGUAAAAACAUGAUAGAAUUGCAGUCUGUGUUUAUCAUAGAAGAAUAUUCUGAGACUUUGUUGGGCUUUGAUGAAAACAAUAUUUUAAAGCCCUUGCUCAUUCAAGAAUCAAGAGUUCUUCAAUGAUGAAAUGUACUUAUUUCAGUGUACUGCCUCUUUCUAGGUUGCCUAUUAAUCAUCUUCAUUAAGUUUCUUAUGAUGUAAGGCACUAAACUCUUUGAUUUAUCCCUUUGCUGUCAAAGGAACCUUAAAGUUGAUAUCAAUAUAUGACACUAUAAUGUGGUUGUUCAUACAUCUUCUCAGUGUCCUGAGAGGGCUAUUUUUGAAAAUCUUAUGGUGUCAUUAUUUCUAUGCAAAAAAGUUUUUUGACAAUUAUGUUGCUUCUCUUCUUUUGUAAGAUGGAAGUUUUUAUUCCGUGUUUGCAGUGAAGGUUGAGGGUGACCUCUUAUCACUCUGAGGAGAAGAAAUAUUUUACAACCUAGUCUCUACUUGUGCAAUACAAUGAAUAGGGUUGGUAGGCCUGUUGUGAAUCAACGUUACCUUCUUUACCAACACACUAUCUUGUGGUAUAGAUAGUAUGGCAACUUCUUAUAUUCCUUAAAAGUUCAUAUUCUUUGUCCUACCACUGUUGCUAGGCCUGCUAUCAUCUUUGGCAAGGAUCAUUCCUUUCUGGCUUGAAAUAUGAUUGUGCUGCUUUAGUAAUAAGAUUAUUCCUUGAAGCUGUGGCAAAGCAAAGACUAGGUUGGAAGGUUGCGUCAUCAUCUGAUUUUAGGAUAUGUCACAAUUGAAUGCAAAUGGUCAUGCUGCUCUGGUGAUAUUCGCCUCAACUUCUAGUGUGUCCUCUCUGGAGUUUGGAUAUGCUUUGCUGCUAAGAGGAUGCUGAAGAAUCCUCUAAUCUGUUAUUUUUGAAGCCUGACAUUAUUAGGCAUUGCUUGAAGAAUAUCUUUUAACCGUGGUAUCAACAGCAGUUCUUGUUCUCCUAUUAGAUUUGCCAGAUAUGUUGUUUACAUACAUAUAUUUACUAUUAGUGACAAAUGUAAGCUUUGUCUUGAUAAUAAUGAUGAAGAAACACUAAUGAGUAGUAUGCAGUUUUUUUAUGGUGCAUUGAGAUAUUUGUGUC
This is an RNA transcript of Carya illinoinensis, 2593 nucleotides long. RefSeq lists it as uncharacterized. NCBI's taxonomy places the organism in Eukaryota, Viridiplantae, Streptophyta, Magnoliopsida, Fagales, Juglandaceae. The record is from RefSeq and is a predicted model, not a curated record. The transcript has 3 exons.